Molecule: non-coding RNA, 126 nt
Organism: Triticum aestivum (bread wheat)
Lineage: Eukaryota; Viridiplantae; Streptophyta; Magnoliopsida; Poales; Poaceae
Source: Rfam
UUUCUAGUCCCUCCGUCCGAAAAAGCUUGUCCCAAGCUUGACUCUCAAAUGGAUGUAUCUAGCACUAACUUGGUGAUAGAUACAUCCAUUUGAGGGACAAGUUUUUUCGGACAGAGGGAGUACUUG